Molecule: long non-coding RNA, 1737 nt
Organism: Artibeus jamaicensis (Jamaican fruit-eating bat)
Lineage: Eukaryota; Metazoa; Chordata; Mammalia; Chiroptera; Phyllostomidae
Exons: 3
Source: RefSeq, a predicted model, not a curated record
CUUCAGAGCUACUGCAAUGGACUCUUUAGGGCUGGGACCCAAGAAACUGAAGCUUUAACGUGCACCCACGUGAUUCUAAAUGCAGCCACGAGCCCAUGAGCUCCCACGUGGGCCUGCUGGCGGAUCCCAGCUGCACCUUAUUGAGAUGGGAGGAAGACUCAAAACCCUGGCGGUGUUGGUCAGCACUGCUUCCAAGAUGCGCGUCUUCUGCUCCAGACCAUCAAAGACUCACCGCGAGCCAGCAGACAUCUACUUCAGUCCCGUGGACGCAUCGGCGAGCCCGGACCCGGAGCACGCACCGUCCCACGCACGUGCUGGGUGCCGAGUCGUAAAGGGCCGUCACCUGUGACUAACGAGUCAGGUUCACGGAACUAUUGGGACCUUUCGCACCGGUGUCCAGUCAUGUCCUGGAAUUGGCCUGAGUUCCACAUGUGCGCGUGGAAUGAACUUGGACCCCACCCACUCUGCUCCAGCCAACCCCCCAAGUUUGUUUCCACCUCGGAGGCCUUUCCUGCUAUUCCCCAUGUCUGCAACAUUCCUCCCCCUCCCCUCUGAGUGGCUAGGUCCCUCUUAGCGUCCAGGCCUCAAGUCAGCAUCUCCCCUCAGAGAGUCCUUUCCUGACGCCCUCUCCGACGCAGCCCACCACCCCGAGUGUUCACUGUCCCACCAGCCUCCCUUGUGUCCCUCUUAUCACUACCUGACAUUUUCUUAGGUCGAUUUGCUUACUGUCACCCACCGCAAGUGUGAACUCCGCAGAAGCAGGGCCCUUGUCCGUCUCAUUCACGGCCGUGUCCCCAGGUGCCCGGCACGUGGCCGGCAGCCAGGAGGAGACGUCUGUUGAAGGAAUGUUGAAAGGCAUAUUCGGAUGUAUAUGUUUGAUGGGCUGGGCGCCCCCUAAGAGCUGGACUGGAGGGAGAUACCUGGGGGGAAUCCCCUGAGGACUCUGGUGGAGAGGGCGGGGCCAGGAGCCUGGGCUGGGAUGUCCCAGGUCAAGUGUAAGGCUGUGCUGUGCAGUUCCCUCCACAUCCCUGCCCAGAGGUGCACAGUAACCAGGGUGCGCAGCUUCCACGAAGCUCCCGGGAACAAAGACACUGGAUACCAGACGUCUGUACCUUCACGCUCGGUCCGGCUACAACUCAGGACACUCAGGGGAGCGUUCAGGUUCGAUAAGUAACUCCUAGGGAAUGCGGUUUAAGGGAGCCAGAAAAACUGUUUGGUUCUCUGCUCCCUUCGCUUCCCCACUUAAAGCCGCCAAAGAGGAAGGACAGAAAAGGCUCCAGAAGAGCAGAGAGAAGUGAGGUGCAGCCCUGCCCUGUCUCGACCCAACCCUGAGGCCUAGUCCUGCGUCGGGGAGGCUCUGGGGAAAGGCAGGAAAGCAGAAUGGCCUUUCUGUGAGGUCUGGGGAGCUGACGCAGGCCAGGAUGGAAUUCUCCCCUCUGCCCCAUCUCAGGGUUUUCUGGGCUGCAGCCCCACAGAUGUGCCCAGCCGAACCCACACUGUAAUUCUCAUUUCGAGGCGAAAAGUUGAAGACUCAAAGUUUAAUGGAUGCUUGGGCGCCCCAAAAAUUGCCAUCCCCACCCGACCUCCUCCCUGCAUUAGAACCCUCACUUCAGGUAUCAGGUGGGCGGAGCUCAGGGGGACUGAGCUCCUCCUCCGGCCCAGGUAAGAGAAUCCGGGUCAGGCCGUGGCCUCAGUGUCGGCUGCUCUCAGAGCCAUCUCAGUCCGGCUGAGUCGGCC